RNAcentral lists this ribosomal RNA (253 nucleotides) under uncultured bacterium. Its description in RNAcentral is "partial 16S ribosomal RNA". It matches the Rfam family "Bacterial small subunit ribosomal RNA", at positions 524 to 776 of the family's 1533-position model. The record is from RNAcentral.
UACGUAGGGUGCAAGCGUUGUCCGGAAUUAUUGGGCGUAAAGGGCUCGUAGGCGGUCCGUCACGUCGGGAGUGAAAUCCUGGGGCUUAACCCCAGAACUGCUUCCGAUACUGGCCGUCUCGAGGGAGGUAGGGGCAUGCGGAACUUCCGGUGGAGCGGUGAAAUGCGUAGAUAUCGGAAGGAACGCCGGUGGCGAAAGCGGCGUGCUGGACCUCUUCUGACGCUGAGGCGCGAAAGCCAGGGGAGCGAACGGG